Molecule: ribosomal RNA, 421 nt
Filed under: uncultured eukaryote
Lineage: Eukaryota
Description: SSU rRNA
Rfam family: Eukaryotic small subunit ribosomal RNA
Source: RNAcentral
CAAUAGCGUAUAUUAAAAUUGUUGCGGUUAAAACGCUCGUAGUUGGAUAUUUGUUGAGAACAGCCGGUCUACCCUCAGCGGUCAGCACACGGUUCGUCCUCGGCACUUUCCUGGGGAGCGUGUUCGCACUUCAUUGUGUGGCACAUGAUCCAGAACUUUUACUUUGAGGAAAUGAGAGUGUUUCAAGCAGGCGCCUGUCGUGAAUACGUUAGCAUGGAAUAAUAGCAUAGGACCGCGGCUAACGCUGUUGGUUGUUGGACCGAGGUAAUGAAAAUAGGGAUAGUUGGGGGUAGUUCGUAUUUAACUGUCAGAGGUGAAAUUCUUGGAUUUUUAAAGUACGGACUACUGCGAAAGCAUCUGCCCAGGAUGUUUUUAUUGAUCAAGAACGAAAGUUAGGGGAUCGAAGAUGAUCAGAUACCGU